UACGUAGGGUGCAAGCGUUAAUCGGAAUUACUGGGCGUAAAGCGUGCGCAGGCGGUUCGUUGUGUCGGUGGUGAAAUCCCCGGGCUUAACCUGGGAAUGGCCAUGGAAACUGGCGAACUGGAGUGCGGCAGAGGGGGGUGGAAUUCCGCGUGUAGCAGUGAAAUGCGCAGAUAUCAGGAGGAACACCGGUGGCGAAGGCGGUUCUCUGGGAAUGUUCUGACGCUGAGGAGCGAAAGUGUGGGGAGCGAACAGG
This 253-nucleotide ribosomal RNA is filed under the name uncultured bacterium. RNAcentral's name for it is "partial 16S ribosomal RNA". It matches the Rfam family "Bacterial small subunit ribosomal RNA", at positions 524 to 776 of the family's 1533-position model. The record is from RNAcentral.